CAUCAUUGACAUACUAUAGUUUUAUGCCAAUUUGCUGGAAGAUAACAGCCCAAUUAAAAUAAUAUUUCUGAGCUGACCAGGAGAGAGAAACAGAGUAAAAUGGCCACUUUGCUCUCUGGCCCACUUGUCAGAUUCUUCCUCCUCCCUCCCCUUUCUCUUCUUCCUUCGAAUCCUACGCCCUGCCUUUCUUCCGGCGCCCCAUGCUCCGACCCGACCCUGUUCGUGUGGCACCGCUAGCACCCACCAGCCCGUCCUGCCUGCAUCCCUACUGAGCAGCCUCGCACCCCUCCCGUCCAGCAGCACCGCGCCAGCGCUGCGCCUACUAUGCUGCCGGCCGACCUACGGCCGACCUACCUAACCACGAUUGGCCGCAUCCCAUCCGUGCGUGCAAGAUUGUUGCUGGACGAAGCCCAGCAAAGGUGGAGCACUAAUUGAGCUCGAGUAGCACGACCCCAAGUUGGAUUAAGCUUCUCCGCUCUCAAAUCUUGAGCUCCUGAUCUUGGAUUUAGUCCACUCUAAUUGCCUCGCUGCUAUUCCUGGUGAAUGGUGAUGUUGCUCUGUCUCUCUCCAUCAAAGAUAGCAUCCUCCACGCCUCCUCCACCUGGUGAAUGGUGAUGUUGCUCUCUCUCUCUCUCCAUCAAAGAUAGCAUCCUCCACGCCUCCAUCUGAUAGAGGGAAAAAAAGAUAUGGAAGGGAGGAAGAAGAGUCUGACCAGGGGGGUUAAGGGUAAAAAUGAUAUUGCAUCAUCCUUCUCUUACCUUCUUAGCCUAUAAAUAUUAUUUUAUUUGAGACAGUGUCUUUCAGCAAAUUAGUGCAAAACACAAAACGUGAUCAAUGAUGUCCAUCAGCAAAUCAUCAUCCCGUAGCAAAUUUUGCCUUCUAGAGCAACUCCAAGAGGCCGCUAAUCUUACCCCAAUACUUUUUUUAGAGAAAAAAGGAGAAAAAACGAACUCCAACAGUCCACCCAAAUCUUCCCCAAUUUUUUAGCAACGCUAAAAAACAUCCCUUCACCCCGCAUAUUUUAGCGACGUGCGGCCUUCCCCCAAUCCCCCCGACCUCCAUUCCCGCGCCCCCUUUGCACGCUCCUCUCCCGGUAUUGGUUCCAGUGGCGGCAGCGCUGCUCUCCCGGCGGCGCCCUCCUCUCCCAAAGGCGGCGCUCCUCUCCCGGUGGUGUCCCGGUGGCGGCCCUCCUCUCCCGGCGUAUAUGAAUAAAUAAGGUGUGAGACUCCGGCCGGUGUCCCGCAGCAGAGAACCAAGCUGAGCAUAAAUUGGACGCCUCAAGGUCAGAUCCAUUGAGCCGUGGAUGCGUAAUGGAAUCAUUGCAUUGCAUGCGAUGGAAGGAAAAUUGCAGGCAAGGUAGCGGCGGCGAGCUUGCAGGCAAGAAAAGGAUUCGCGUCGACCUGGAGCUCGAAGCGGAGGAAUUGCUAUACGCAGUGGAGGAAUUUCUGUGCACAUCGAUGGAGAUGCUUCGGUGGACAAGAAGUAGAGGAAGAUAAAGGGGAAGAUAGAUGGACUCGUCCUCGAUCGAGUCCAAGAACACAAGGCAGAUCUGGAACUCGACACCGGCGAGGGUCUUCUGGUCACGGUGGUGGGAAAAAAAGCACGGAUCCUAAUGAGUCCAAUACGAUGACGUGGCCUGUUUUGAAUUAUUGGGGGUAAUUUUUAGCGAUCUGCUGUGGGCUGAUAUAUUUGUAGGGGAAAUUUUUUUUAGCAUAGCCCCCAAUACCUCGUUUUGGGGGAGAAUUUUUUAGCAUACUCUUGGAGUUGCUUAAGUAUAUCAAUCUCUCAAACUACGUACUAUUAAAUUCCACGAGUUUUUGGCA
Molecule: long non-coding RNA, 1823 nt
Organism: Setaria italica (foxtail millet)
Lineage: Eukaryota; Viridiplantae; Streptophyta; Magnoliopsida; Poales; Poaceae
Exons: 2
Source: RefSeq, a predicted model, not a curated record